RNAcentral lists this ribosomal RNA (237 nucleotides) under uncultured bacterium. RNAcentral describes it as "partial 16S ribosomal RNA". It matches the Rfam family "Bacterial small subunit ribosomal RNA", at positions 100 to 334 of the family's 1533-position model. The record is from RNAcentral.
CCGGCACGGGUGAGUAACACGUAUCCAACCUGCCGUCUACUCUUGGCCAGCCUUCUGAAAGGAAGAUUAAUCCAGGAUGGCAUCAUGAGUUCACAUGUCCGCAUGAUUAAAGGUAUUUUCCGGUAGACGAUGGGGAUGCGUUCCAUUAGAUAGUAGGCGGGGUAACGGCCCACCUAGUCAACGAUGGAUAGGGGUUCUGAGAGGAAGGUCCCCCACUGGAACUGAGACACGGCCCAA